CAUGUUGCUGCAGAAGUUGCAUCUCAAGGCCCAGGAUGGUGUUUUGGGCCUUGGUGUGAGGGCUAUGGGGAGCUCCAGGCCUCAAAGGAACACGCUGCAGAGAGCACAGACUGAGCCCCUGCACCAGGCUAUAAAGGAGAAAAGCUUACACAGGAAGGGUGGGGAUUGCCUCUAGCCAACUUCAGAACUAGUCUGGUGCUGACAACACUUUCAUAGAAGAGAGGUAGGAGAUAAGGGUUUUGGCAGCCUCAGGCUG
Passer domesticus (house sparrow) is the source of this 256-nucleotide long non-coding RNA. RefSeq lists it as uncharacterized. The record is from RefSeq and is a predicted model, not a curated record. The transcript is spliced from 3 exons. Lineage: Eukaryota; Metazoa; Chordata; Aves; Passeriformes; Passeridae.